This 71-nucleotide transfer RNA is filed under the name uncultured phage cr18_1. Its description in RNAcentral is "tRNA-His". It matches the Rfam family "tRNA". Rfam says of the family: Transfer RNA (tRNA) molecules are approximately 80 nucleotides in length. Their secondary structure includes four short double-helical elements and three loops (D, anti-codon, and T loops). Further hydrogen bonds mediate the characteristic L-shaped molecular structure. tRNAs have two regions of fundamental functional importance: the anti-codon, which is responsible for specific mRNA codon recognition, and the 3' end, to which the tRNAs corresponding amino acid is attached (by aminoacyl-tRNA synthetases). tRNAs cope with the degeneracy of the genetic code in two manners: having more than one tRNA (with a specific anti-codon) for a particular amino acid; and 'wobble' base-pairing, i.e. permitting non-standard base-pairing at the 3rd anti-codon position. The record is from RNAcentral. Lineage: Duplodnaviria; Heunggongvirae; Uroviricota; Caudoviricetes; Crassvirales; Steigviridae.
GUGUAGUUAGCUUAAAGGUAAAGCACUGGAUUGUGGCUCCAGAGGAUAGGGUUCAACUCCCUGCUACACCC